RNAcentral lists this long non-coding RNA (1628 nucleotides) under Citrus x clementina. RNAcentral describes it as "Citrus clementina (C. clementina) long non-coding RNA (CCLE_LNC002266)". The record is from RNAcentral. Lineage: Eukaryota; Viridiplantae; Streptophyta; Magnoliopsida; Sapindales; Rutaceae.
ACUACUAAAAUGAUCAAAUUUCAAGGCUACAAAAAUGGUGCCUGUGACUUGGCUUGUACACAGGAUAUAUCACAUAAACGGAACGAAUCUCAAAUUUUUCAACUUGAUACAACACAAUAUACGAGCAAACAAAACUGAAAUUUUUGACAUGAAGUUAUACAUGUAUCAACUCUAAAUGUUUGAAACUAUUCGUAAUCUAAAUUCAGUCUAAAACUUAAAAUUAAAUCAGUAGCCAUCAAUCAUUUUCGACACCGAAAAGUAAAGUCAGCACCAGCAUUCCUGUAGUACAAGUUAGCCUGUAGCUGUUUGCUGUGAGUGCUCUUUGAUUCUAGCUGAUGAAGCUUCAGUGAUCCACUGCACUCUUUAUUAGCCAUUCUUAAGCAGUCACCUCAAAACAAUCAAAAUAAUUAUCAGAUUUCAAAUUAAGGUAGGUAAGCGUGAUGAAAAAGGCUGGAAAAAUGAAGUCCUCAUAGAUAUUGUCCAGCAAAUUAUGUCCAAAAAGUUCUCUUUCAAUGGUUAAGGAAUUUGUCUCGUAUUCACAUUAAAAGAUAUAUAGCUAAGGUAUUUGUCUCAUAUUCACAUUAAAAUACAUAGCUAGGUAGCAACAUGUGGACAAUUCAUAUUCAUGGGUGUCAAGUCUUUUAAAGAUCCAGGAAGCUCAUAUUAUGAGUCAUAAAACUGCAAAAAGAUAUUAUAGCACCAACACAAAACUAGAUAUGCAAGAGAAUUUUUUAGAAUUCAUUAAUUCUCAUUAAUAUUUUUCAGAUAGAUUAAUUCAACAAUAUGCAGUUGACAAAAAUAUAUAACCAUAAUUCAUUCAGUGACACAUUUGCACAAUUUAAAAUUUACUGCAGAACAGAGGCAAAUUGAAUUAAAAGAAUAUUUAAAAAGGUCACAUGGAAUGAGAAUGAAAGCCAAAAUUAUAACGGUUUACUGUCAAGUUCCCCCAUCCUCUUAAGACCAGUAUGAGCACGAUCUGAUGUUUCUUUCAAGGCCUAUGAAAUUGGUAGAUAGACUAGUACACAUAGGUUAAGAACUGCAGAGAAGAACUAAAAGAAGCAAAGGUAAGCCUUUAACAGGAGUACAAAAAUCAUAUAAAAAUUAUGAAAAAUUGGACUUCAUCAUUCUACAUUGAAAGAGAUUACGUAAAUAGUUUGCAUAUCCUUCUCACUUAAUCACAAUUUAAAAUUUGUUUUCCAAUUUUCUCAUUCACUCAUGAGUUUCUGAGUCACCUACAGAUUUUUGGCAUCAACAACAGAUAAUUAUCUGAUAGCACAGAAAAUAGAUACUGCAUGCCAAUCCAUUCAAAAUCCUUUCUUCAGUUCUAACACUUUGAAAGCACAGUUCAGGUAAGCAAAAUAAGUCCUGAAAAACAGAAAAGAGGCGAAGACCAAAGUACAAAUUCUCACAAUUCAUGAUCUUGUAAACCAUCUAAAUGGAAAUCAUCCCAUUAACUACCGCAGUAGGUUUCUAGACUAAUGGAAGAAGAAAUGCUUACAUUAAUCAAUUCUUUACGACCAUCUUGUAGCUCACCGUAACUUUUAUGUUUUUUAUGAUUAAAGUGUGGUUCAAUGCUUCUACAUCUUCAAUCUCUCCUGGUUCAAUCCUUCUACAUCUUCAAUCUCUCC